Molecule: ribosomal RNA, 439 nt
Filed under: uncultured bacterium
Lineage: Bacteria
Description: partial 16S ribosomal RNA
Rfam family: Bacterial small subunit ribosomal RNA
Source: RNAcentral
CUACGGGCGGCUGCAGUGAGGAAUAUUGCACAAUGGGGGGAACCCUGAUGCAGCAACGCCGCGUGGAGGAUGACGCAUUUCGGUGUGUAAACUCCUUUUAUAUGUCAAGAAAAUGACGGUAGCAUAUGAAUAAGCACCGGCUAACUCCGUGCCAGCAGCCGCGGUAAUACGGAGGGUGCAAGCGUUACUCGGAAUCACUGGGCGUAACGGACGCGUAGGCGGGUUGGAAAGUCAGGUGUGAAAUCCUACAGCUUAACUGUAGAACUGCACUUGAAACUUCUAAUCUAGAGUAUGGGAGGGGGAGAUAGAAUUAGUGGUGUAGGGGUAAAAUCCGUAGAUAUCACUAGGAAUACCUAAAGCGAAGGCGAUCUCCUGGAACAUUACUGACGCUAAGGCGUGAAAGCGUGGGGAGCAGACAGGAUUAGAUACCCUGGUAGUC